GUCUACGGCCAUGCUACCCUGAACAAACCCGAUCCCAUCUGGUCUCGGAAGCUAAGAAGGGUUGGGCCUAGUUAGUACUUGGAAUGGAGACCACCUAGGAAGACCAGGUGAGGUAGGCG
RNAcentral lists this ribosomal RNA (119 nucleotides) under Pteropus alecto (black flying fox). The record is from RNAcentral. Lineage: Eukaryota; Metazoa; Chordata; Mammalia; Chiroptera; Pteropodidae.